GCGGAUUUAGCUCAGUUGGGAGAGCGCCAGACUGAAGAGAUGACUUCAGUCCUGAUAUCUGGAGGUCCUGCGUUCGAUCCGCAGAAUUCGCA
This 92-nucleotide transfer RNA is filed under the name Sugiyamaella lignohabitans. RNAcentral describes it as "Candida lignohabitans tRNA". It matches the Rfam family "tRNA". Rfam says of the family: Transfer RNA (tRNA) molecules are approximately 80 nucleotides in length. Their secondary structure includes four short double-helical elements and three loops (D, anti-codon, and T loops). The record is from Rfam by way of RNAcentral. Lineage: Eukaryota; Fungi; Ascomycota; Dipodascomycetes; Dipodascales; Trichomonascaceae.